This 2022-nucleotide long non-coding RNA is filed under the name Equus caballus (horse). RNAcentral describes it as "lncRNA (ENSECAG00000050913.1)". The record is from RNAcentral. Lineage: Eukaryota; Metazoa; Chordata; Mammalia; Perissodactyla; Equidae.
AAACUGCCCCCAGCUCUGCCACCCCCUCAAGCUCCUACACCGGCUCCCUUCCCUUCAGGACUCGACUUCCACAAGAGUCACACACGCGUGUCCACUUCCUCUUCACCCACGUGCCUGUGAGAGCCUCCUCGCACACACGCCUGCAAUCCCGAGCAGCGGGUCCGCCUGCAGCGCUCUAACGACACGAGCCUUCCACCAGCGAGGACCUGAAGCAGAAAGCAAGUGCCUGUUCCCUGCACUGGUCCUCCUCUGCACCUCGCUCUCUGAAGCGCACACUCUCCUCCUCGAAACUCCACCUUCCAGCGGGUUCGGCGUCAGGGGAAGCUUCUGGCUCUGCCUCUCUGUCCUCGCUGAUUUCUCCUCUAGUUUCUAGGAGUGGGCUAGGCAGGGACAGCCGCAAGAUACCCUAAACCUUCAGGAUGUCCUAACUUGGCAAAUGCCGGAACACCUGCAGAGGUUCGGAGCUUCCUCCUGAGUCGUGUUGGAGGCAGGGGCCCGUCUCCUGUGUUUCAGUCACUGCCACCAGGUAAGCGCUUCGAUAACUUUUGCUAAAGCGUAACUCUCACUUGAUGACCAUUUUCUACAAAGAAGUAAAUCACCUAAAUGAGAAUUACCGCCUCUACCACGAUGAGGAAGAAAAACUCAGGAUGCCGGGCAACUUGGUAGAUUCACGCCGAGCCAGGGGGCUCACUCCCGCAGCAGCCGGCCCGGUCACGCCUCGAAAGAUCUGCGAGCGCCAUGCCGUUAACUCUCAGCCUCUUCAAAACAUACAGACUCCAAGCGCCGCACCAGACACGCGAACGUCAGGGCAUCCUCCCGCUCCAGCAGCGCAGGCUCUCCGCGGCCUUCUCUUUCACCUCGAGGAUGCGACCGUCACUCCCAGGUGGACGGGGCUUCCUCUGGCACCCUGGGCUCUGUCCUCCGAUCCCGACACCAUCACGCCCACACUCUGUCGGGUGCCUCAGACUCAUAUGCCUGACACUAAUCAAUCGUCCCCAGCCCCACCUCCUCCUGCGGUUCUGAGUUGAGUCAAGGACGUGACGGGAACCUCCAAGGUACCAGAACCUAACCUUCAGGAUGAUGCUGUCCUCUGCCCUCCGGCCUGCUCCGAAGCUCCAGGCUCCCUGAGCUCAGGCCAGGCAGUGUGUUCAGUUGGCUGCCCCUGUGGCCUGCAUGUGUUCCUGUACACACACGGCAGGGGCUGGAGCGUGUCUGUGAGUGCGUGAGCUCCCCGUACACACACAGCAGGUGCUGGAGUGCGUCUGUGAGGGUGUGAGCGCCCUAUACACAUACGACAGGCGCUUGAACAUGUCUGAGCACCCCGUACACACACAGCAGGUGCCAGAGCACGUCUGUGAGCACGUGAGCACCCUGCACACACAUGGCAGGUGCUGGAGUGUGUCUGUGAGCGCGUGAGCACCCUGUACACACAUGGCACGUGCCAGAGUGCGCCUGUGAGCAUGUGAGCGCCCUGUACACACACGGCAGGUGCUGGAGCAUGUCUGUGAGCGCCCCUGUACACACACAGCAGGUGCUGGAAUGUGUCUGUGAGUGUGCGAGCACCCUGUACACACAGGGCAGGUGCUGGAGCGUGUCUGUGAGCGCAUGAGUGCCCUGUACACACAUGGCAGGUGCCGGAGCAUGUCUGUGAGCACGUGAAUCCCCUGGACACACAUGGCAGAUGCCGGAGCAUGUCUGUGAGCGCCCCGGACACACACAGCAGGUGCUGGAGAUUGUCUGUGAGGGUGUGAGCGCCCUGUACACACACAGCAGGUGCUGGAGUGCGUCUGUGAGUGUGCGAGCACCCUGUACACACACGGCAGGUGCUGGAGAGUGUCUGUGAGCGCAUGCGUGGCCCGUACACACACGGCAGGUGCCAGAGCACGUCUGUGAGCACGUGAGUGGCCUGUACACACACGGCAGAUGCCGGAGCACGUCUGUGAGCGCCCCGUACACACACAGCAGGUGCUGGAGUAUGUCUGUGAACGCGUGAGUGCCGGUACCCGUGGUGAAGGGACACCC